UGUGAAUGAUGAUACUCUUUUCCUGACUUAAUUGUGGGGGGUACAAACUGAUUUAAUGAGGCUGAUGC
Molecule: small nucleolar RNA, 68 nt
Organism: Pungitius pungitius (ninespine stickleback)
Lineage: Eukaryota; Metazoa; Chordata; Actinopteri; Perciformes; Gasterosteidae
Source: RefSeq, a predicted model, not a curated record